CCUACGGGAGGCAGCAGUGGGGAAUAUUGGUCAAUGGGCGGAAGCCUGAACCAGCCAAGUCGCGUGAGGGAAUAAGGCCCUACGGGUCGUAAACCUCUUUUGCCGGGGAGCAAGGGCGGGGACGUGUCCCGGCCCGGAGAGUACCCGGAGAAAAAGCAUCGGCUAACUCCGUGCCAGCAGCCGCGGUAAUACGUAUGGUGCAAGCGUUAUCCGGAUUUACUGGGUGUAAAGGGAGCACAGGCGGCGCGUUAAGCCUGGUGUGAAAGCCCGCGGCCCAACCGCGGGACUGCAUUGGGAACUG
This 301-nucleotide ribosomal RNA is filed under the name uncultured bacterium. RNAcentral describes it as "bacterial SSU rRNA". It matches the Rfam family "Bacterial small subunit ribosomal RNA", at positions 338 to 635 of the family's 1533-position model. The record is from RNAcentral.